GCGCCCGUAGCUCAGCCGGAUAGAGCACGAGAUUCCUAAUCUCGGGGUCGUGGGUUCGAGUCCCGCCGGGCGCGCCA
Molecule: transfer RNA, 77 nt
Filed under: Alphaproteobacteria bacterium
Lineage: Bacteria; Pseudomonadati; Pseudomonadota; Alphaproteobacteria
Also listed under: 1 other name
Description: tRNA-Arg
Rfam family: tRNA
About the family: Transfer RNA (tRNA) molecules are approximately 80 nucleotides in length.
Source: RNAcentral